This 338-nucleotide unclassified non-coding RNA is filed under the name uncultured Glomerales. RNAcentral's name for it is "sequence contains 18S rRNA gene". Lineage: Eukaryota; Fungi; Glomeromycota; Glomeromycetes; Glomerales; Glomeraceae. RNAcentral also lists the same sequence under 1 other name. The record is from RNAcentral.
CCCAACUAUCCCUAUUAAUCAUUACGUCGAUCCUAGAAACCAACAAAAUAGAAUCAAACGUCCUAUUUCAUUAUUCCAUGCUAAUGUAUUCAAAAGCGUGCGCCUGCUUUAAACACUCUAAUUUUUUCAAAGUAACAGUCCUGAUUCCCCAUGACACCAAAUUAAUGACAAUCGCGGUUUUUCAGAAGAUAGGAACCAAUAAUGCCAGUGCGUACCAAUUGGCACGACCGACAAUUUGAUCCCGAAAUUCAACUACGAGCUUUUUAACUGCAACAACUUUAAUAUACGCUAUUGGAGCUGGAAUUACCGCGGCUGCUGGCACCAGACUUGCCCUCCAA